GUGUCUCACAUAACAAGGCGUAGGGAGCGCUGGCGUCCCAGCUCUUUAUGAUCCGAGGAAGACGCGUGAUAGCUUUCUGGCAGUAUAGACCGACAUAGCACGCCACGUGACAUCGCCUUUUGGGUCCUUCGAGUAGAUAAUCGACUUCAUAUUCUCCAUCGUCACGAUCAUCAUCGGAACAGUUUUAAUGGGAGCGGUGGCGCAGUGGCUAGCGCGCUGCGCUACGAAC
Molecule: non-coding RNA, 229 nt
Organism: Petromyzon marinus (sea lamprey)
Lineage: Eukaryota; Metazoa; Chordata; Hyperoartia; Petromyzontiformes; Petromyzontidae
Source: RefSeq, a predicted model, not a curated record